AGUGAACGCUGGCGGUAGGCCUAACACAUGCAAGUCGAACGGCAGCACAGUAAGAGCUUGCUCUUACGGGUGGCGAGUGGCGGACGGGUGAGGAAUUCAUCGGAAUCUACUUUUUCGUGGGGGAUAACGUAGGGAAACUUACGCUAAUACCGCAUACGACCUACGGGUGAAAGCAGGGGAUCUUCGGACCUUGCGCGAUUGAAUGAGCCGAUGUCGGAUUAGCUAGUUGGCGGGGUAAAGGCCCACCAAGGCGACAAUCCGUAGCUGGUCUGAGAGGAUGAUCAGCCACACUGGAACUGAGACACGGUCCAGACUCCUACGGGAGGCAGCAGUGGGGAAUAUUGGACAAUGGGCGCAAGCCUGAUCCAGCCAUACCGCGUGGGUGAAGAAGGCCUUCGGGUUGUAAAGCCCUUUUGUUGGGAAAGAAAAGCAGCAGGUUAAUACCCCGCUGUUCUGACGGUACCCAAAGAAUAAGCACCGGCUAACUUCGU
This 491-nucleotide ribosomal RNA is filed under the name uncultured bacterium. Its description in RNAcentral is "partial 16S ribosomal RNA". It matches the Rfam family "Bacterial small subunit ribosomal RNA", at positions 29 to 506 of the family's 1533-position model. The record is from RNAcentral.